Anas platyrhynchos (mallard) is the source of this 1974-nucleotide non-coding RNA. Lineage: Eukaryota; Metazoa; Chordata; Aves; Anseriformes; Anatidae. The record is from RefSeq and is a predicted model, not a curated record.
UUUGAGAGGAACAAGACAGAAGGCAGGUACUGAGAGAAACUAUGACUCCAGAGAGGGGAUGCUCAAAUCCCCUGUACUUAAAUAAAGGGAAACUCCAGCAGAAUAAUCUUCUUAGCAGUCUUUUUACUGCAGCCAGAGGAUGGUGUAAGCACUGGACACAAAGAAAUCUUCAUAAAGGCUAAGAGAUGAACCCCCAGUGCCAUGAUCUCCACAAACUGUGCACAGAGAGGACUUUGAAAUACAGAACCCCAGGCCAUUCUGAGGCAAAGUGCUGGCUUGUUUCCUCUGGUUUCAGCAAACACCUGCCUGCACCUGUGUGAGGGUGGCUGCAGGGCUCCACCCUGGGCCCAGCCCACACCCAGCCUGGGCACCAUACUGCCUCCCGGCCCUGUGGGCAGGAGCUGUGCAAGGGCCUGAGGUGAGGCUCCACCACCACUGCAACACUGUUGUGGCUGUAGCUGUGGAUGCAGAUAUGGAUACAGUCAUGGACAUCGAUGGUGCUGUGGAAAACAUGUUUGACUGUGAAUUCCCAGCACUGGAGUCAGGGAACUAGAACAGAGCAGUAUAAGGAGAUGGUCUUCCCAGAAGGAAAUCUUUUAUCGGCAGUGACCCAGUCAUGUGAAACUUUCUCAUCCCCAGGCAGAAUUAACUGCCCGCUGCCAUGCUUCUUCAGCACAUCUGCACCAAGUAAACACCCAAAAACACCCUGUCUUCAACAGGAGGUACAUGCUGAUUCCUUAGAGAUGUGAACGUGCACUAAGAACAGCUUUGAGUCGUGCACAACGUGCAGAUCAAAAACUAACACAUGGGACUAAAUCCUCACUGUUGUAACCCUUUAUGAAAGAACUACUGUGUUUAAAUUUUUAUUUAUUUUUUUUUCCCAAGCAUUCAGUGGGCUGCUCUGAUACAGUAAACUGCUCUUUUGGAUCAGCUGCAGGUUGUAGCUCUUGCCUAGGGCUGAUAGGGUGUUCUGUAAUUAAUUGUGCGUGUAUUGUGCUUCAUUACUAAAGCAAGCAAACACCGCUGGUUAAAGGGUUUCUGUCUGGAGGAUCUGUUAUGGUCACACACUCACGGGGCUGGGUUUGUUACUUGCUGAUCAGGGAUUCACAUUGGUGAAGUUCAUUCUAUUCUUGCAAGUAUAAUAAACGAAAGGGAACAAGGGCUACCUUUCUCAAGAGCUCUUCAGCCCUAAGAGAAGGGACAGGGUGGUUAAGGUAUGUCAUGUACAGUUAUUCUUGAACCUCUUCAAACACACAUAUUUGAGCUGCACAGCAGCUCGCGUGAACCUGAAAAACACCGUAAACAGGAGGCUAAACUGACUCAUCGCUUGGAGGCAUCAACAGACCUUGAGCUUUGUCUUUCCUCCUGAUUUUUAUCCUUGAAGACCGCCUCAGAGGAACUCUGGGAGCAAACACCUCUUGACUGCAAGGCCAGUCACUGGGUACAGAACGGGAUUUCCAGCUGUGUCAGUGCUUGACUCUGAGAAAGAACACGGGGAACAUUAAUGCCUGUGGGACCCGAAUGUCUACGUCCUGGAAACAGUCCUGAAAUACCUCAGUCAUUGCUUGCAUUUCUGCCAGUCCUUCAGACUUUCCUGUCUUUCUACUCCUCUUCCCCCCAGUACAUAUAUAUUUUCUGUAGCCUGAAAAACUGAGUCCAUAAUGGAGAAGAGGCAAAACAUGGAAAAAAAAAAAAAAAUCACAAAUCCUCCCAUAGCACCAGCUCUAAAAGCCUUUGAGCACUGUGCAAGCUGUUAAUAAAACAGCACAGCCUUGUGAAACAUGCCACAAGCAGCAUCUCUGUGCAAAUCUCCAGCAGCAUCCCCCCAGCCUGCCUGCUGCCAGGGUGUCGUGGGGCUGGGAGGGCAGGAGACUCCCUCGGCUUGCACGCACGCCCCCGGAGCCAGAGUGCAGCUCUAAACAUAGCUCCUGUCACGUGCGAGGAGCCAAGGCUGCUGCAGACGCCCACGCUGCG